This 1506-nucleotide long non-coding RNA is filed under the name Zalophus californianus (California sea lion). RNAcentral's name for it is "lncRNA (ENSZCAG00015017243.1)". The record is from RNAcentral. Lineage: Eukaryota; Metazoa; Chordata; Mammalia; Carnivora; Otariidae.
CAGAGAGAGAGAGAGAGAGAGAGCACAGAGUGAGAGUGAGAGAGAGAGAGAGGCAGACUCCCCACUGAGCAGAGAGCCUGACGUGGGGCUCGAUCCCAGGACCCCCAGAUCAUGACCUGAACGGAAGGCAGACGCCCAACCACCUAAGCCACCCAGGCGCCCCAAAAGGUCCCUAUUUGUGGCAAAAUAUCUUGACUACUUCCGGUAGCUAGUCUGGAUCAUUUUUAUAGAUUAUCUGGAAAAUAAUGAAAAUAGGAUUUUAACAUUAGUAAGAGCCCAAGGAGGAGACUUUCAUUUAAAUCAGGACUCAGGGAGAACCCUGGUGGUACAGAUGAAAUGUUUUUACUGGGAAAGCAGGCCUAAAACCAGGCCAAGAGGACUUGUUGGGCCAGGGCCUUGUUGAAGGUGGGGAGAAGAGCGUUGCUGACUUAGGAGGAGCCGGGGCGAAGGCCCUUUGAUGACUCUAUUGUUCCAAGCGCUGCCCUACGAAUAGCGCAAGCCUCCCAGCCUCCUCCGCAAGGGCAGAGCGGGAAACUGGGUCGGUUGCGCGGCGCUCGAGGUAGUCGAGCUGGCACCAACCUCCCUCCGCCUCGUCUGCGGCCCCCUGGGGCAGCAACGACGCGCCAUUCCCGUCGCAGGCACAGAACACACAAAGGAAGCCCCCACCCGUCCUCAGACGUGGGGACACUCUGGGAAGGAGGCUGGCGUGGACCCCGAGUCUGAGCACCUCCCUCGCCCGCGGGGAACAAUAGCCGCCGCCUGCCCCGGGCAGCCCGGCGGUCGCGCGGCACAAUGGCCGUCUCGGGGCCGCGCCAGCAUGUGACGCGCGCGCGCUCGGCGCUCGCCCGGCCUGCCGCAGGGCGCAGUCAGCACAGAGCCGGAGCCGCCGGGCCGCGGCCAGGCUGCCGGAAUCCACCUGGCACACUUUCGGAAAGACAAACGCGGUUCCUCCUACUUCAGAGCCCCAAGUCUGGGCCAGCUGGGAGCCGACCCGAAACCGCAAGCGGAGACGCAGGCACGCGGGGUGAGCGCUCACGGAGGGUGCGACGCCGCCCCACGCCCUGCGGCGCGAGGCCGGUCACCCCCGCGCUCCGGGUCCCUACUGCCGCCUGCCGGCCCACCGCCCUCCCAAGAGGCGGGCCCCAGCGCCCGUCCCCGACGCACGGUGGCUCGGUAUCCCCAGGCCCCCACACCCGCCGCUUCCUCCCUGCCCCGUCGCACCCUCAGCGCUACUCCACGCCACAACUCCAUCUCUCCCAAGGCAGAACAAGACAAAUCCCAAUGGGUCACAAGGUUUUUGCAGACACACAAAAAAAGGCUCCAAAGGGACUAGGAUUCCGGGAAGGGGCGGAGCUAGUUUCGUUCUUACUUACCUGCAAGAGUAAUUUGUGUGGGAGGAAGCAGGAUAAUACCCUGUUGAACUUGGAACUAAACUUGAAUGUCAUAUAAAAAGAACAAUAAAAAUACACUUCAGAUGCCAACCACAAUGAUAUGCCUUUCCUCUCU